RNAcentral lists this ribosomal RNA (468 nucleotides) under uncultured bacterium. Its description in RNAcentral is "partial 16S ribosomal RNA". It matches the Rfam family "Bacterial small subunit ribosomal RNA", at positions 28 to 507 of the family's 1533-position model. The record is from RNAcentral.
GACGAACGCUGGCGGCGUGCUUAACACAUGCAAGUCGAACGGAAAGGCGCUGCUUUUGUGGGGUGCUCGAGUGGCGAACGGGUGAGUAACACGUGAGUAACCUGCCCUUGACUUUGGGGUAACUUCAGGAAACUGGGGCUAAUACCGGAUAGGAGCUCCUGCUGCAUGGUGGGGGUUGGAAAGUUUCGGCGGUUGGGGAUGGACUCGCGGCUUAUCAGCUUGUUGGUGGGGUAGUGGCUUACCAAGGCUAUGACGGGUAGCCGGCCUGAGAGGGUGACCGGCCACAUUGGGACUGAGAUACGGCCCAGACUCCUACGGGAGGCAGCAGUGGGGAAUAUUGCACAAUGGGCGGAAGCCUGAUGCAGCAACGCCGCGUGCGGGAUGACGGCCUUCGGGUUGUAAACCGCUUUCGCCUGUGACGAAGCGUGAGUGACGGUAAUGGGUAAAGAAGCACCGGCUAACUACGUG